RNAcentral lists this ribosomal RNA (429 nucleotides) under Verrucomicrobiota bacterium. RNAcentral describes it as "Verrucomicrobia bacterium partial 16S ribosomal RNA". It matches the Rfam family "Bacterial small subunit ribosomal RNA", at positions 355 to 776 of the family's 1533-position model. The record is from RNAcentral. Lineage: Bacteria; Pseudomonadati; Verrucomicrobiota.
UAGGGAAUCUUCCGCAAUGGACGAAAGUCUGACGGAGCAACGCCGCGUGAGUGAAGAAGGAUUUCGGUUCGUAAAACUCUGUUGUUAGGGAAGAAAAAAUGUAUAGUAACUAUAUACAAAAGAGACGGUACCUAACCAGAAAGCCACGGCUAACUACGUGCCAGCAGCCGCGGUAAUACGUAGGUGGCAAGCGUUGUCCGGAAUUAUUGGGCGUAAAGCGCGCGCAGGUGGUUUAGAAAGUCUGAUGUGAAAGCCCACGGCUCAACCGUGGAGGGUCAUUGGAAACUAAUAAACUUGAGUGCAGGAGAGGAAAGUGGAAUUCCCAGUGUAGCGGUGAAAUGCGUAGAUAUUGGGAGGAACACCAGUAGCGAAGGCGGCUUUCUGGACUGCAACUGACACUGAGGCACGAAAGCGUGGGUAGCAAACAGG